CUAAUAAAUGUUUAUUUUUGUAGUUUUUACAACUGGGACAGUCACACUGCUGUUUGUAACUCCACUCCCAAUUAUCAAGUGAUUGCUGACAAUCCAGAAGGCUUACUUUUCAAAUAUAAAAGAGACAGAAAAAUUCUCAACGUGGACCCAAAGGUAAUUCUGAUUUACAUUUAUAUAUCUCUUCAGAUUUUAUUGUAUUUUUAUUAUAAUUAAAAAAUCUAUUACAUAUUUGACACCCUGGAGUAUUUUUAGAUCAUAAACAAAAUCUCCUUUGAAACAUAGAGCUUAUUCUCUUUUAAUUUUUUUUAAAGAAAACCUCCAAAGCUUAAUAAAUUAUCAGAAAUUAAUAAGAAAGAAUUUGUGAGGAAUCUACCUAGACCUUAAGAGUAGGAACAGUUCAUGUCUUGCAGCAGGAUUAGAUUAGGGAGCCAAUGGUCAUUGUAUCUGUUUAAUCUGGAGAUGACUGGUCAUUUUUUGCUCUUAGUGGGGAGGUGAGUUAUUUAGGGAAGAGGGACUCUCACUUCACAAUUGUACCCGACAUUCUAAUAUCUCUCAGUAUAUGUAACUAAUACUGAAUAUAAAUAUGCCAUUAGUAUAUUUCUAAGUGUUGACUUAUUAUUAUUUUAAUAUAUGACCCAAGAUAUUUUGAAUUUAUUUAGGGAAAUAUAUUUACAUUUUACAUACUUUCAAAGACUGCAAUUCUAUCGGAACUUUGUAUCAUGACCUGUCGUAUGUCUAGGGAUGAAAAGUUGAAUCAUUAUGUGCUUGGUUUGUUUAUGUGUUUGGGGGUUUUCUUAACUUUUGAAAAAUAUACUAUUCACUUUCAAAUGACAAGAUCAGUCUAAAAUCCAGACAGGAAAAUAUUCCUUUUAAAGUGAAGAAAAUAAGAAUUUUGUGAUAUACACAGGAUAGAGGCAAAGAUGGGCCAAAGGAAAGGGGGAUUUGGGUUCUCAAAUCUUUUUCCAAAGCUUUUAGAGAUUCAAAUUUUAAAAAAAUAAUAAUAAAAAUCUUUGUUUCAUAUCCUCUUAGUACAAUUCCUGGCACAUAAAAUGUGCUCAAUAAUUGAGUCCAAAGAGUGAAUGAAAUUCUAUACCAAGAAAUAGGUUAUUGUCUGCAAUUCAACAGAUUACUGCUGCAGAUUCAGCUGCAAGUAUCAUAAAUCCCAAGAUAGCCAUUUAAACAUGAUAGAAGCUUCCUUCUCUCUCAUAUGGGAAUCUAGAUAGUAGCAUCCAAGGUUGGGAUGGCAGAUCCAAGAUCAUCUGGAUCAGGGUGGCCUUCAUUCUCAGAAGCCAAAUAGAUUUCCAGCCAAAACAACCACAUUCCAAAAGGAACACACAGGGCAAGGCAAGAAGAUGCAAAAGACAUGCCCUUCCUGCCUUUUAAGCUUUCCCCAAAAGCUACCACACAAACAUUUUCAUGUUCCAUUGCAUGAGCUUAGCCAUAUGGCCAUGUCCAGUGAUAUGCAUGAUUGGGAAGUAUAACCUUUCUUCAGGUAGUCAUGCAGCCAGCUAAAAAGCAGGAGUUCUGGAACGGGAAGGGAAGAGGUUUGGAUGGACAACUAGCAGCUGCCGACCCAAUGCUAUCUCCUUUGAAAGAACACAGAUCAUUUUCAGUCUCAGGUUUACUCAUUGGUAAAAUAAAGUCCUAAAUCAGGAAAUCUCCCUGAUCACAUUUAUUAUGAAUCAAUGAAUACCAAAAAAGUUUAUCAAUACACCUUCUCUCUAGUAGUACCUCUUUGCUUAUAGGUUUAAAUCUGUGAUCAGUUGGGGCAAGUACAGAAAACUUAAUAAAUAGCAUUCACAAAUUAGUUUCCUUUUUAAAGCUAAACUAAAUACAAUAAGAAGUUUAAAAUUAUUAGUUGCCUCAUUAAGGUGUGUGAAACAGCUUUGAAUCAGUUUUGAAUGACAUCAUACUUACUCUACUUUAGGCUCAGUUUUAACUAAUGGCAUAUGUGAAGCAUGUAUGUCCUGAAUAGUAAUUUUUGUGAACUGUGGGGAACCAUUACUAAAUACAAACUAUUACUUGAGUAUGAUUCAAGUAAUUUAAUUAAAAUGAUCGCUUUCAAAAUAAUCAUGACGUCUCAAAGAUUAUGUUAACAAUGCCUAAAAUGUAACAUUUCCUCUUUUUUCUGGAAGAAAGUAAGUUGAAUUUGAAGGAAAAUUUUUCUAAAUCUUAGAGAAAAAACAAGGUUUUUGUUAAUGAGUAACAAGAGUAAACAAUUAUUCGGUCAGACACCUGAGGCUAUUUGGAUAUUUUUUUAAAAUUGUAUUCAUGAUAGUUUUUAAAUUUUACUUUAAUUUUGUUAUUUUUGAAAAUAAAAAUUAAAGACAGCCUUUCUGGAAAGAAAUUCUAGUCUCAGCAUUAGAAAACAUAUUUUUAGGCCUUAACUUACUACUAUUAAUUGUUUGCAUGGCCUUGUUAAGUUCACUUCACAUUCAUGGGUUUUUAAAAAAUGUUCACAACUGGAAGAUAAGGAUUCAUUUAUUUGUUUGUUUCUUUCAUUGGUUUGGUUUUUGGCUUUUCUGGUUUCUGGAGUCCUUCUAAUGUACCAGGCUCAAUUUUCAAAGAUUUAGUCUCAAAUGAGCCCUGAAGUACAUACUUUAACAUGAAAUUAUUGUGAUUUUGCUACAAAUUGUCUAUGAACUGCAACUUAAGGUUACCUUCUCCAUAAGAAGACAAUAACUUUCAGAAAUCUGGCACUCUGUUCUCAAAUAUAAGUAAACUAACAUUUCUAGAUUUUAACUUUUGUGGACUAAUAUAAAAUUAGCAUGUGCUUUUCUCACAUAAGUUCUUAUUUACCCUCUUCAAAGAUCUCUGAUUGUUUUUUUUGAAUUUUAUGCAUCUGAUACAUUUUUUAUGGACCUAUUGGAAAAAGAAAUAAUCUCAAAUGUCUAUUUUUUAAUAACUGCAAGUGUGAAGAAUCACAUUUCUAUACUCAUUUUUAAAAAUAAUUUUGCCAAAAAUUCUUCCUAAAACAAACAUCUUCUUAUAACUCCAACUGUUGGAGUAUUGUAAAAUAUUAUGAGAACAAUACAACCCAACCCUCCUUUUCUUUUUCUUCAAGUGUUCCCUUUGAAGAUUUUAUGUUUAAAAUUAAAGAGGUCAAGAUAAAUGAAAGGUGGAAAUAAUGGUAAACAGGAUGUGUUUCCUUUGUACAACGCAGACGCAGACUCCCUAAUUCUGAAGUAUAGUUCCCAUGAAACAGUUGUUUGUGAAUGGUAACAGUGGAAAAAAGAAAAUUCUGCAGGUCUUAGAACAAGUAAUAUGAGUUCAUUGGUUAAGAAAUUCCAAAUGCAAUAAGAGUUUGGUUGCAUUGAAAAACAGGACCACUGGUUUUAACUUCCCUGCAGCUGUAGAACAUCUGGAACAAAUAAGACAAGUUUCUAUUUUUGAGUGAAGAAUGCUUGUCUGAGUGAUUCACACCCACCAAAAUGUUUCCAGUGUAUUAUCUUUAGAGGGACUGAGUGGGAGCACUUCACACUCACCCCCUUCUAGUAUCUGGACUAAUGGAAAAAAUAGCAUUUCUCUUUUACUUUAAGGAAAUAUUAAUCAUGGGAGAGUCUGAGUCUGAUCAUGACAUAGGUGCUCUUAAACUGGCAUGUUCUACUAAUAAGGCAAGAGAAAGAGAGAUUAUGUACAAGAGUUAAAAUAGGAAACAAAAAUCUUUCUUAAUUACAUCACCUUUUCUUCCCUUCCCACUUCCACUCACUAAAAUGGAAAAGGGCCAUGAGAGCCCAUAAAACUUGGAAAAAUACUUGGUUAAUAAGUAUUUAAAACUAUUCAUUGAAUGAAUGAUUCUCUCCCAAAGCAAAUAAUAUUGUUAAUAACAAUAAUGCCACACCAAUCAAAAGUUGAUACAUUACUAGUAUUUCACUAGUAGUGAGACCAAAAAUGUAUGUGAACAUCCCAUUCUAAAUAGAUCCAAAUAAUUAAGAAAAAAAAUUGCCAGAAAUUAUCAUUGGAAAGAGGUUUUGUAGAGGUUAUAGAGAAAUCUUUAUUUUGGUCUAUGCUUUCAUGUCUUCCUGUGUGGUCCUGAGAAUUUGUAAUUUAAAUUGUCUCAAUGAAAGUAUUAAAUUUAAACAUUCAUUUAUGUAUGAACAGACUCAGACAGUUCAAGUGACCUGCUCAAGGUCACAUAGGUAAUUAUUAGUAGAAUAUAACAAUAGAGCUUAAAGUUAAAUAUUAUGAGACACCAUGCGGGGAGGCAAAGACAAGCAAAAUUUCAACUCUAGCGCUUUAACUGCUUUUAGGUCUGGUUCUGUGUUUUUGUUUUGUUUUAGGGAAAUAGGCAUAUAUAAACAUACAGCAGUAUACUGUAGAAAGUGAUAAGUUGUUAAAAAAAGAGGAAUAGUUUGGGAAUUCAGUGGAAGAGGGAUGACUUUUGAUCUGGAGCAGGAGCUAGUGAAGAGGAAUGGUGAGGAGUAGCAUUGGGAAAUAUGUUAGGUAAUGAUGGAGGAGGUAAUUUGACUGGGAACAAAGGAUGAUCAGGAAUCCAUACAUAGAAAGAGGCAGUCAGUACCAGAAAUGAAAUCUAUUAGCCAAGGUUCUUGAGAGUAAAACAGAAAAAGAAAAUAGUUCAAUUUGGCUGCUGCAUUGUCUUGGAGGAGUGAAGUGGGAAUUAAGUGUGGAGAAGUCAUGAAAAGCCUUGAGUCCAGCAUGAUAGGGUUCUUGGAAUAGAGUAGAUACGAAAGGGCCAAAGCUCUUGUACAGGGAAACAGCAGGAUGAAAGGCAUAUUUUAAGGUGGUUAAAGGGUGUAGAAUAGUUCAGAAUAAGGAGGAAAAACUGAAGAAGGUGAGCACAAUAACAAUAAUUCAGGUGAAGUGAAAGGAGAAUAAGAAUUAGGUAGGGAUCCUGAUAUAAUUAGCAGAUUUUAAUUUGAUGCUUCCAGUAUUCUAACUACCUGAUAGGUAAAGACAAAACUUAGAGAAUAUAUAUGCAUCUGGACAAGAUCUCACUUCACCCCAGAAAAAAGAAAGAUGUACUAGAGCACAUCUGGAAUAUGGUUGUUUGAAAAAUGGUUGAUAACAAGCAAACCAACCCAAAAAACAUGUUUAACGAUCUCAGAGAUGUGCAGUUUCUGUUAAAUGGAGAAUAUUGGUGAAAUGAAAAACACUUUUAUAGAAUAAACCUUUCUGGAUGCAUUUUGAGUGUCAGGAAGCUUGGAAACCAUGUGCAAUACAAAUUAUGUGCUGAUUUAGUAAGAUGUAUUUCUGUUUUCUUUAUGUAUCAGUGCCCCUUACUGUCCAGCGGAGCCCAAACUCCUCCUUUUGAAAAUUGUUCACAAGCACUCAUCCAUAACAAAGAGCUACUUUACAACACAAGUUGUCAUGACAAGGGCUCUUCAUCAACCUCCGGCUCACCAUGGCUUGCUUGAUCAGGAGCAACUCCUGUCGAGUCAGUAAAGCAUUUCCUUGUCCUCCCUUCAACUCAUCUUGGCCACUCAGGAGAAUCCAGGCUCCACCACCCCUGGAAAGUCAAAACUGAACCCAUCCAUGGUGAAGCACAGGAAUCUAUAUUUUUAAAUCUCCCCAGGUGAUCCUAAAGAUUAGCUGAAUUUGAUAUUCAACUGCUUUACACAGUAACAUUUUAUUAGCUAUUGCUUCACCUCACUGUAUGCAUGUAAAGGAAUCAAACUUCAUUCCUUUAAAAUGAGUUUUACUUCAACCAUUUUAAAUUUAAUUCAUUUAAAUUGCACUUUUCUGGGACUGCACAAAGAACUAGAAAGUACAGACUAUAUACCAAAGACUUCUGGACAAUGUCUACAGGAAUACCACUGCACUAGAUGUCUUUGAAUCAAUUUAGGGGAAGAGGAGCUAGGCAGUGGUACCCCUUCUUACUAUCACUGCCUCCUCAAAAAUCAUUUUGUGAAGUACAAUUGUCCAAAGGCUCAAAUGAAACUAUAUAGGGAUAAAAACUUUUAAAGCAUUAACUGUGCCAAGUAGGGCAGGGAUUCUUUCUGGUUUUACCAUUGAAUUGCCAAUGCUAACACCAUACUGGUACUUGGUAGGGUGUUCAAUAAACAUCUGAGCAAUUAAUAUAUUGAAUAUUAAAUAUUUGCUAAGGAAGUAAAUAGUAGGGUCAAAAAUAAUCAUGGAAAAUUUGAGAUUAAUGUAUUUUAAGAAACCAGGCACUAGAAACAUAUGUAAAACUAAAGCUAUUUUUAGAUAGAACAGACCAAAAUAAUUGACUCUGGUGCCUUGUUUUCUCUUUGGUAGGUGAAUUAAACCUCAGGGUUCUUUGCUGAACCUUGAAAUACUGACCCUGGAUGUCCAGGCAAUGCGUUAGGUGUAUGAAUGAAUGAGAAUAGCAAUUAUUUUAUUAUUUUUAAAAUAAAUGUGUACAUGUUAUUGUAUAUUGUGCAGAUACUAAAAACAAAUAUGCCAAAUUUCACUUUAUUUUUCUAUGAGCAGAAGACUAUUUAAGUAAACCAAUUGAAAAUAAAUUCAACCCAUAAAAGAACUGUUUGGUUUUCCUUUUUAUUUUUUCCUUUAUUUGGGAGGAAGAUUUCAAUAACACCUUCUUACACCUCCUCUCUUCUUUGUUCCUUCCUCUCCAACAAUUCCCACCCAAGCACUUGCUGCUAUUAGAAGGAAGGGUGUUAAUGACCUUCUUCAUUCUGCCUGUCUCUGAGCUCAUUGACUAGUCUUCAUUUCCCUUACCACCCAGACCUUAAAAUCUCAACCUGUGACAGCUUUGAAAUUGCUGUUCUCAAAAUGGAAGCCUAUUAAAUAGAUGGUUCAAGUUUAAUUUCUUGUAGCUCCACCCCCAGUGAAAGUCCUCAGUUUUAUAGUUGGGGGGAGUUUUUCUGCAGGGUACAUGUAGAGUUCCUUUUGAACACUAAAAAGAAAAAGAACACUCUAAAUAACCUAGUUUCAGCAAGGCUAUGGUUUCUGCAACAUCUUUGGGAAUGCCUCCUAAAACUCCAGUGCAAAACUGAACUGAAGACGCAGGGCCAGUGGGGCAGGGGACACUUACUAAAUCACCAACACUACUUUUUUGGCUCUUGGAUUUUCCUUGGAGGCCUCCUGUAAACGUUGCUUUUUAACUGUGGCACAGUCACAGUUAUUAAGUAAAACUGAAGUUUUGCCAACUUUCUGGUUUUGCUGCCCAAAUUACUAAAUGUUUGCUUGAUUAUAGCCCUAAAACACCCACAUACUAAGUAGCUUUUAAACAUUUUUUCCUCUGGGCAAUCACCUGGUAUAUCUGAACUGAAAGUCCACCACAUAUAAAUUAAGUAUUUACUCAACUAACUACUGCUAAAAUCAAUGACCUUAAGGAAUACAUUAAAAAUUAUAUAAUAGAGCUUGGCUUUUAUGAAUUAAAACUCCUAAAAUUUAAAUGCCAUGUCUUCCUCUUGACCUGGAAAACUGAUUUUAAAUUUUAUACACAGUAUUUAUGGAACAACCCCUGGAGAUAAGCACAUUGCUGUUAAGAGUCCAGUGUAUGAACUUAUAUAUGAAGUAUAGCAUAAGAAAAGUGAGCUGCAGAAAAAAAAAUUAAAUAUAUAAUUUUGAAUUUUUACCUAUAUUGUAAUGUUUAGUAGUAAGAGAGUAUCAAUGAUAACCCUUAUUGUGAGUCAUACAUAUCCCAUAUGGUAUACAUGACAAAGAAAAAUUACUGUUUCAGCUUCUGAUUAUAAAGAUAGCCUAAUCAAACACAAUGCCAUAAGUAGGAGGAAAAAUGUGACCCAGAGAAAUGAGGAGGGAGGGGUUUGGAGAAGAAUUUAGCCCCAGUUCUUGCUAACUUUUUCACAAAAUGUAUUACCAACAGCAAAGGAAUGUGGGAAAGAGUGGAAAGUCAGCUUCCUGGUAGAUAAAAUGAUGGAGUACACACAAAGUAAAUGUUUCCUCCAUGAUCACAAAGCCUGACACCAGAAAGAAGCAGACACCAGAAAACACAUGAGCCACGCACAGUUCUUGCAGGUGCAAGGCCUCAGUUAAGGAUAUUUCUAAUUCAAAAAGAGAGCAUGAAUUCUGGGACUGAACAAGUAGUCACCUCCCAUGACUCCUUCUCAACCAUUCUCCCUGGGAAAUGCUUACAAUUUCCAAGCAUUAAAACCCCAAAGCAAGAUUAGAGAUGUUGAAGUUUAUUAGAAUCUGUAAUACAACAGCAUGAAGUGUGUUUGAGGCCAUUAGUGAGGAAGAAAAACCUUAUUUUGACAACAUAUAAGCAGUCAUUGCUGGCUAAUAACAAAUGAAACUAACAAAGAAUUGGCAGCCUCCACUUGGUAGCUCAAAAAACUACCUCUCAAGUACAUGAGAUUGCUCCAAAGGAUAGGUUCUUAACCUUUUGGAAACAAAAAAAUUUACUUUAAACCUGACAAGUUCCAUAGAUUUAUCUGAAACACACAUACACACAAGCAGAUAUGCCUGAAUACAGAGUAAUAGACUAAUAUUUUAGGAUACUCAAACCUGCCUAAGUCCCUUAAGCAGUCCCACUCCCUCCAAUACCUGGGAGUAGCUGAAAGGGCUGGAAGAACUCCAGGACAUCUUGGAAGGGGUUCAGGGAUGCCACUAUGGCUCGGGCAGGGAAAAAUCUUUAGAGAGGGCAAACUUUAAAACUAAAAAUUAGAGUUUCAGAUGCUUUUUUUCAGCUCUGUAAUUGGAGAAAAUUAUUUAACCCUGUUGUGCACUUCUCUACCUCAGUUUUCUUAUCUGUAAAAAAAAAAAUCUAUUAUGAUUAAGUGAGCAUGUGUAAAUGCCUGCUACUACUGAGUAAGUGCUUAAUGGAUGAAUGUUGCCUCCUGAUGGUGCAUUACAUUAUAAACAUGGAAGUUCUAGAAAGAUAAUAAUUUUUCACUGCAAAAGUUAAAAACUAAAAUAUAUGUCCAUGACUAGGCAGUGGUUAACUAAAUUAUGAUACAUCCACAAAAGGAAAUUUUAUAGUAUUGUAAUAGGGGAAGAAAUGUCUCAGAGGAAGGGUUGAAGGAGUUCCCAGAGGGAAGGGGAAACUCAACACAGACGGCUAGGGUUCUUGGUAUAUGACAGAGAGGAAUUUCAGUAUGUGCCAGUCAGAGACAUGGACAUAUUUCUGUUAAGGAAAGCAGAGGCACAUUCAAUGGAGAAUGUGGGCUGCCUUUAGAAGGAGAAACAGAAACCCAUUGGUGUGGGGUGUUAAUAUUUAGAAGGUGCUGCUCCUUGCAGGUAAGGAUCAAGGGCACGGACCAAGGGUGUGGGCUAGUUCACUCAGGAGUUGCAGCCUUUCAUAGAUAUUUUUACAUUUCAGUGGUUUCUGAGCUCUAUCUUUGAGAUUCAGUAUAUCUUCUUCUUUUCUGUAUCUUCAAAUUCCUAUCUUAGGAUGUAGUAGUUGAAAACAUCAAAGCUCUAAUUACUGUCAUUGAUGUACUAUUGGGAAUAGAUAGAUGUUCAAGAUACAUUAUUAAGUGAAAAACAGCAAAUUGUCAAACAGUAUAGGUAACAUUCGGUUCUAUGCGUUAGUCAUAAUUUUACAUAAGAAUGUCCUAUUUAUGAACAUUAAGAUUGGUUUCUGUUUUCCAUCAACUAACAAGCGAUCCUCUACAACCAAGUUUAACUAACAAGUCUCUACAACCAAAUUUCUGCUCAACCCUCCUUAAGACAGAAUUAUAGCAUGGAAAUUGUUUAGUUGUAUACUUUGGGGGGCUGCGGUUGUGGCUCAGCUGUAGAGCACUCACCUAGCACAUGCGAGGCCCCAAGUUCAAUCCUAAGCACCACAUAAAAAAUAAAUAUAUAAAAUAAAAGUAUUGUGUCCAACUACAACAAAAAUAAAUUAAAAGAAAAAUAUAAAAAAUAAUGUAUACUUUAAAGCUUUAGAAAGAUGCUGUCAAAUUGUGUUAUAAUUAGACCAUAUCAACUUACAGUUAUCCCCGAACUGUUUAAGACUCCCUAUUCUUCAUGCUCUAUUUAUUUUACAUCCUUUUAAAACUAUUAAUUUUGCAGUCCAAAUUUAUUUGGAGUCAUUUUAUUUGCAUUUUUUAUUGUUAUUGGAAAUGAACAUUUCUUUCUUAUGAAUGUGAGCAUAUUGUAUUUUUAUUCUGUAAUUGUUACUUCCUUCUGACCACUUAUCUUAUAAGUUCUUAGUGGGCUUUUAAAAUAUUAUUGUUGUUAUUUUGUGUUAAUGGUGGUAGAGAUCGAACCCAGGUCCUUGUGCAUGCUAGGCAAGUGUUCUACCAUUGAGCUACAUCCCCAGCCCCAUAAUAUUAAGUAUUCUAAGCAUGUACAAUUACAUUCUGGUAAAAAGGAUAAUAGCUUCUUACUGAAUUUAUGCAAAUUACUAAAUGGCCAUUGAGGGUAAGGAGACUUACUAAGCAUUUCUGUCUCCUAGAGGGAUAAAUGAGAAUAAUAUAUGAGAAUAAAUGGGAACCAUUUUUAAAUGGUUCCUUUUAGUUUAUAAAAGUAGAAUCCAGGACUGGGAUUGUAGCUCAGUGGUAGAACACUUGCCUAGCAUGUAUGAAACACUGGGUUUGAUUCUCAGCACCGCAUAUAAAUGAGUAAAAUAAAGAUAGAUAUAUAUAUAUAUAUAUAUAUAUAUAUAUAUAUAUAUAUAUAUAUAUAUAUAUAUUUUAAGUAGAAUAUAUUAGAUUUCUAUGGGUUGUAGUAUUGAGAAAAGUUGUUCUUAUAUAUCCAAAAACAGAACAGGAAAAUAACAUCAAUGUUAUUCUAGGCAAAUAACCACAAGAUUUUUCUCAUCAGUUCAUUCAGUCAUACUACAAUUACUACAAUGAAUUUCUGCUGCUCUGAAUCCUGUGAUAGUCACCAUAUACCACUCUUUUCUUUGACCUGAAAAUGUUCCUGGCAAUCUUGACUCAUCCAUGAAGCAGUCUGUAAGCUGUCUAACAAUUCUGAGUUCAGUAUUGAGGUGUCAAUAUUUAAAAUAUCUGGUAGAGUCCUUUUCCACAAAAUUCUAAGGCUGUAUCUCCUUAUCAAAGACAGAAGUUCUGUCCUAUAACCUAUGAGAGACUUUAGAGAAGCAUCAGAGUAAAAUAUUUCUAUCUGUAGAUGAUGGGGACUGAAAAUGACUGUGGUUGAAUUACUGCUGACAAUUUUAAAUGUGGACUGUCAGGUGGAGGUUCAUAACAAUAAUGCAGCACGCAAGGAAGUUUAGUUCUUUCCGUGGUAUACAAAACAAAGAUAAUAAAGCCACUACAGAGAAAAAUCGGACCAAACAUCUCUAAGGAAAAUUAUUAAAUCUAUUUUAGAAGAAAUCUAUGAAUUACAUAUCUGAUUCAAAAUUAAUUUAAUUAAAAUAAUUUUAAUUGAAGAGAAAAUCUUGAAAUGUGACUUAUAAUAAUCCUGAGCCAUAAUUAUUAAUGCCAAGAAUACCAAGAAAUUUGGAAAGUCAAAAGAAAAAAACUCAACAUCUGUAUGUUUAAAGCAGCUGAAGUCAUAACUAAUAACAUUGCACUAUUAUUAUCUAAUAUCAGACAAAGCACCUCUAGAACUAUAAUAAACAGAAAAACCUGAUAGAGUUAUUCCUAAGAGUUGCAAUGAUUUCCCUGAGAGCAAAAUCAUAUAAGAUACUAAGAGAAAUGACAAAACUCCAAGGAUUUUCCAUAAAGCUUACAAAACUUCUAACAUAUUUAUAUCAAUAGCAUUAUAUCUGUACAGAUUUACAUAGGUUAAGUUCAGCAUCUCUUUUUUAAAUUUUUUUAAACCACUUCCUGAGGAAUUCUACAAAUAAAUCUAAGUAUUUUCAGCACCUCUUUUCAAAAGUGAAAGACUCAUUCUUUGUGACUUUUUUUCACCAGGGGCCUCUGAGAACUUUUAAGUAUAAAAGACAUCCUGAAAGUUUAAUUUCUUUUAUAGUUAGGACCCAAUUAUGGAACUGCGGAAAUCAGAAGGUUAAAAAAAAAAAAAAACUUGUCUGAAUGUAUUUGGAAACUUGAAUAAUAUAAGACGAGGGUGCCAGGGAAAUACUGUAUUAAAUAUUUAAACUCUUUUUGUGUGUGUUUUGUUCUAGGUAUUGACCCAGGGAUACUCUACAACUGAGCUACAUUGCCAGUGCUUUAUAUUUUUUAUUCUGAGAUUGGCUCUUGCUAGGUUGUUGAGGAUCUAAGUUGUCUAGACUCACCUCAAACAUGAUCUUCCUAUCUUGCCUCAGCUUCCUGAGUUUCUGGGACUACAGGCUUGCAUCCCUGUGCCUGGCUAUUUAAACAUUUUAAGCAAUAAAAUAUUUUAAAAAUAAACAUAGAAGUUAAUAUGUUUGUAAAGAGCCUGAGCUCUUUAUAAUUAAGAAAUCUUUGUUCAUUGGUUUUUUUUAUGAUUUUUCUUUCUCUUAAAUAAUCAAGGAUAUAAAAAAAUUCAACUGCAAAGCACAAAAAAAAUUAUUCUUGUAAGACCAAAUCUUUGCUGUUUAGAUAGAUAACAUAGAGAGUUUUUUUAAAGUCUUUUCUUUAAUAGGCAAAGAAAAGAAAUCAGUAAGCCAAGAAAGCAAGCUCAUCAGAUUGGGCCAACAUUUUGUUUGUGGUGUGUAGCCCUGGGAAUUGAACCUAGGACCCCAGGCAUAAAAUUGAACCAACUUUACUAAAAUUUUAGUACUUAACAGCUUCUUCUCAGACUCCAGUAUUAUACACCAAGUCAAGUAAAAUGUCCUUCCAAAAUUUGUCCUUCAUUUCACCUUUUCAUAUCACAGAAAUUCUUACUGACACCAUAACUGCACACAAAAAAAUUACAUUAAUACUUAACAUGAUAUUCUGUUAACAGUUCAAUGAAUUCAGCAUCUCUAUGAUCAAAUAAGUCAGUAAAUAUUCUUAAAUUUCUCAAUCAAUAUGGUAUAUUGAUAGUUGUCACCCACAUACCUUAAAGUUUCUUGGGGUCCACAAUAAGUCCCAAGAUUUUACAGGGGUUCUGAGAUGGUAGGAAAAAAACAUUUUCUCUUUCUGUCUUUCUCCUUAUCCCUUCUUCCACUAUUAUAUACCAAAGUAUAUUAGCAUUCCACUAUUAUACACUACUUUGCAACAGCCACUAUAAGGCGAAUCUGUAUUGUCUUUGAGAUGUAAAACACACAUAUUAUGAAUCUAUUCCUAUUAUUCCUAGCAUGGCCUCAAUUAUUCAUACUAAUAGUGACUUUUAACCAAAGUAACUUCCAUUUCACAGAGAAAGCUGGAGGUAGAGAAUUUAGAACUAUUUUUCCACACACAUUUUAGCAGACUAGCAAAGUUUAUAUUGCAACUUUCUAUAUCCACACACAUAACUUUUUUAAAUAGACAAAAUGACAUUUUCAUUAACAGAACCCAAAGACAAGCACUUUUCAUAUCAUGUGAAAAGAUAUAUAUAAACUCAAAAUCAUACCUAAUAGGUAUCAAAUUUCCAGUAGUCUUAGUUAGAAAUUAUCUAAAUAUCAAAUAAGUUUUCAUUAUAUAAUUCAAUGUAAUAUCAGUUUAAUGUUUUAUGUUACAUAAAGAUAUUGGGAAGGAUAUUCAAACUGACAUACUUAAAAAGGUAAAACAUAAUUAUAGUCAAAAUAAAAUGGUCAGAAUAAUGAUUUGAUUUAGUUGAAUACAAAUUUACAUUUCUCAUAAUCUUUAAUUUUAUAUGUGAGUAAAGUUGACAUGAUGAGCAUACCUGCAUAAUUUUAAGAAAAAUAAAACCUAGUGGAAUAAAAUGUUGCUCAUUUUAUGUUAUACCCAACAAUGAUGAACCAUCGAAGGCAGCUUUUUUUAUUAAUACAAAAUUACUACCUUGGUCUUGAAUUAAAAAUUGAACUUAAAUUUUAAAAAUUCUGAGUUUCUUUAAGAAUAACUUUUAAGUAUUGCACAUUUAAAAUAUUAUAAUUUUAAUUUCCUCAUUUCCUAAGAAUUUUAUGGGUAUUUGCUUUAUAAAAUAAAUUAUUUAUAUCAGAACUUUCUUAUAUGGCAAUCACAAAAGGGUUUCUAUGAGAAACUUUUUAACCAAAUUUAUUAUACUCCAGAGAUUGGAAAAUAUUGUGCAUUCACACUACAAAAGAUAAAGGUCUUCCUAAAUUACAAUAUUUUACAUACAGAGACACAAAAACAGCUAAUAACAUCAGGUCUCAGAAUUAUCCACAGGUCAAAAACAAACACACAGAAUCACCAGUCCAUAUGUCAAAGAGUUAUACUUUUUUUCAAUAGGCACAGCAUUUUUAACUUAUGUUUAAAAUAUAUAAGUAUACAAAUAAUGAAAAUAAAAUACUAAAAAACUAGAUUAUUUAUUUUCUGUCUUCCAACAUAGAAUAAAUCUCUAUUAUCCAUUUACAGAAAUUACAAAAAUUAGACCAUAAAACCAAAUUCAGAAUCACUGCUGUUACUAGUGGGGGAAUAAUUUAUCAAUUGUAAAAGUUUAAAAGACAAAAUCAAAACACAAAAAUAUCAGGAAAAAAAAUAGAAAGAAAUAGAGGAUCAGCAAAGUUUACAUUCUAUUGCUACUUAAAAUUUACCUCUGGAGGUUCAGAAAAGACAUGCCAUGAUAGAAGAGGCCAGUGAGGUACCUUGUUACCCUACCACAGGAAUACUUAGCUAUCAGAGGAACCCACUAGGCAUCAGCAGGAGACACUCCAAUUACAAGAGACUUUUCUAAAAACAGCAUAAUUGUAACUCUUCUACAGAUAUAACAUGAACAUAUUAAAAAAUUCAUUUAAUUAAUCAUAGAAGGAACCAGAAGAUAUUACAACCAGUUCAAAGGAGAAUAUUCAAAGAGUAGAAAACAUGUACAUAUAAGGUAUAAGGAAAAUUGAAGUAAAAUAGUUUCAAAACAGGUCCUUAUAAAGGGCAAUAGUUAAUUGCAUUUCACUGGGCACAAUUAAUUUGCAUCUUAGACAAGAAUAUAAUAUUGUUUUUACUAUUAUCAGUUUUGUACAAGUGAAAGAACUGUAAUAAAGAUUGAAAAUUCAAGAUUGAAGAAGUAUGAGGAAAUCUCUUGUAUUGAAAUAAUGACAUGAUAAUUUUUUAAAAACUUAUAAAUUAACACAAGAAAUGAAUCAUCUCCUCAGGUUCAUUGUCAAGGGAUUCAUGUUGUCCAGGCACAUAAACAUAUUAAACACUUACAUUCAUUUUAUGAUCAUUUCACAAAAUAUUUCAGAUUUUAUUUGCUCAUUCAGCACUUGCAUUAGUGCAGCAUUUCCUAUGCCCAUCCUCCUACUUGAAAUCCCUUGUCACUAUCCAUUGAUUUGGGGAGACAGCACUGUCAGCAGUGCCACAUGGCAAUACAUUUGGUCCAAUGAAUAGCAUUAGAUUGGGUGAGUGAGUCAAGAAACUCAUUCUUUUUGUUGUACCCAUUUUAAUGACUAUAGUUUUCAUGAUUGUUUAAUUGUUUUGAGUUACACACUGUGUAGCUCAAAAUUUCCAAAAUAUAAUUUUUCAACUGGUAUAAGAAAUUAAAAAUUAUGUGGGAAAAACAAUACCAAGGUUUCUCUCUAGCUCCAGUUCUAAGUUUCCUACCAUUUAUUUCUAAAAUAGAAGAGACAACAAGUAGCAUGAUAUUUUCAUUAUUAAAUUCACAAAAGGCUCAAUGGCUUGUAUUUUUCCAAUUAUCAUAUCAUGCAACUCUUUUAGAGAAUUUUUUUCCCUCUGUAAGAAUUAGUUUCACCUACACUUCUCUCUUCUCUUUAUCAAUACCACAUCACCAAAUAGUUAUUUCCAUAGGAGCUCCUUAGGAGCUAAUUAUAUUGUAAAUAUGAUUGACAAUGCCAAAUAAAGAUAAAGAGACCAAACUUUUUUUUUGUAGAUUACAAUUUGAAUGGGGGAGAGAAGCAGAUAAAUGGCUUUUAAGAUAAGAAAGCAGUUCUUCAUGAAACUCACCGUGGACAGGUCUACCAUUCCACAUUUGAGAGAUUUUUAUUUGAUAAAAUGGAGUUUAAGAUAGCAUUGUUUUUGAAUUAUGGUCCUGAAAUCAUAUAUUUGUAAAACCCAUCACUAGAAUUUCUACAGAGUUAAUAACUCACAGGGUUCAACAGAAUCUAGGCCAUUGUGAGCCUGAGACACUGCUCUGAUCCAGGUAUUCUUGGUAAUGUCACAACCCUGGGCCACAAAGCUCCUAAUAGGAAUCAUCACUGCUCUUGAGAAAGAGUCAGGGGAGGAAACAUGGAACUGUCUCCAUGGAAACAGCCUUUUUAGUUCUGUCUUCUGCAAUAUUGAAGCAAACAGACAAUUCACUUAAUACCACUUAUUUUAUUGAUUGAACUAACAGUGUAAUUUGUUGUGUAUUUUAGGCUCAACCAGGUGACAACUCCACUAGAAUCCCCAUCCAGACAGAUCUCUACAUACAAGCGAUCAUUUUCGACCACAUUUCCAGGAGGAAGACUUAAGCACCAACUUCUUAGGUGGUUUCCUCAUUGUUUGGUAAAUUUAAAUUGAUCCUGUAAUCAGAAGCAAAUUAGAAUCAGAUAAAUGAUUCUUGGUCCUGAUCCUUAGAAUAAUAAAAGUUAAUAUAGAAAUUAGAAAACUGUCAUCUUGCCUGUCUUUGUAUUGUACAGAUAGCCUCUUGAUGUGAUUUGGGGUUUUUCCUUUUCUUUCUUUUUUUCCCCCUUGAACACUGAGGCGGAUUGCAACAGUUCAUGAAAGAAAAUCUUGUUGCCACUUCAAAGAUACAUUAAUUGGUGACAUAUUGUGUAGCUCAAAUUUUCCAAAACAAAAAUGUUCCAGUUCCCAUUAUUGCCAAAUCUAGUAGACCAAAAUGAUGUCGUGUGGCACUGCUGGCAGUGCUGUCUCCCCAAAUCAAUGGCUAGUGAUAAGGGAUUUCAAGUAGGAGGACCGGUCUAGGAAAUGCUGCACUAAUGCAAGUGCUGAAUGAGCAAAUAAAAUCUGAAAUAUUUUGUGACAUGAUCAUAAAAUGAAUGAAAGUGUUUAAUAUGUUUAUGUGCCUGGACAACACGAAUCUCAGGACAAUGAAGCUGAGGAGAUGAAAUCUAAAGGAAACCAGAGGAUUUUAGAAAAAUGACUGCAUCACAAUGGAAAUGAACAUGUUUUCCUAAUGUGCCUUUCACAUAGCUUUCGUGAAGAAAAGAUACUAUGCAGAGGCCACUUUUUAUUUAAAAUUAAUAUUUGGAUCUUCUUCCCACUCAGUUCCCUUUCAUUUCUAAACAACUUAUUCCUGAGGCAAUUAGAUGGGGCUAAAUAAAGUGGGAGUCUCUUUGGUGUGUGGCAAUGGGAGAGUCCCAGACAGUGUCCAUUCAAAUGAGGUGAGAAGGGUGUAUCCAUGUGGGAAGCUGUAGAAUGGCACAAGAUGUCAGAUCCCAAGCAGGGUGAGUGGAGUACAGCUUAAAUUGCAAUUGCAUGUGUUUGAUCUCAUAAUUUUCAAUAUAUACAAUGGAUUGUGUGUGUGCAUGUGCACACCUCACCUGCAUGCUAUCAUGCCCACUGAGAGAGCCCAGCAGCAGCAACACCCCAGGAUCAGUGUCUUAGUUUCUCAGAAGCAUUUUCCAUUAAAAAUAAGCAGAAUCCUUGGGAAAACAACUGAUUUCAGGUUCAUGGAAGAGAAAAUUCAAGAGUCUGGAACAGACUUUUCCAGAAAGCAAAGAAGUACUCAUCAAAUAAGGAAGAUUUAUUAAAAGGACACAGAACCCAGUUCGGAGGAGCUCCCACUGGCCAAAUCAAGGAUAGUGGGCAUCAAAGCAACAAUAACAGCAAGAAUCAAAUAGGAAUCCAGAACCCAUACUGAUGCAUACACAUGAAUAAAUAGAACAAUGAUUAGGAAGUGGAUAUUUACCUCUCCACAAACACUUAUUGAUUCUAAAGGGACCAAGAGAAAUGGCUAGCAAAUACCACUUACAGGAAGUGAUGAAGAAUAUUGUCAGUAAUGAGGCAAACUGAAUCUGUGCCCUACCAAAUAAGAUUUAUGACUGAAUCAAUAUUAGUCAAAUAUCACAUCUUAAGUUGGACUAGCAAGGCUUCUCUCAUGCAAAGGAGAAAGACAGCAAAGUUGCAUAAGGCUCUGAAUGUAAUCAAAUGAAAUCAGACAAACCCAAAUCCAGGGACAUUAUACAAAAUAACUGGUCUGUAAUCUUUAAAAGUGUCAAAAUGAUGAAAUUGAAAGACUGAGAGACCAUCCAGACCAAAGAAUAGACACAUGACAACCAAUUAUAGCACAUAAUUCCAAGUUGAAUCCAUAUCCUGCAAAGGGCAUUUGGGGACAACUGGUAAAAAUCAAAUGGUUUCUGAAGAUUAGAUGGUAGUAAAGCAAAAAUGUUUACUGUAUGAUUUUGGUGAUUAUGUUGUAAUUAUAAAACAGAAUGUUGUUGAUUAGAGGAAUUAUUCCAAAGCAUCUAAGAGUCAAAGGGUAUCGUAUCAGCUGAUUAUUUAUAAACAACUCAAGGAAAAAAGGUCUUUGUGUUAUAAUUGCAACUUCUAAGCCUGAGAUUGUUUAUAAUAAAAUAAAUAUUUUAAUUAUUAAAUUUAGAAAUUCAGAACCCUAAUUCCUUUU
This 18354-nucleotide long non-coding RNA is filed under the name Marmota monax (woodchuck). The record is from RNAcentral. Lineage: Eukaryota; Metazoa; Chordata; Mammalia; Rodentia; Sciuridae.